RNAcentral lists this ribosomal RNA (408 nucleotides) under uncultured bacterium. Its description in RNAcentral is "partial 16S ribosomal RNA". It matches the Rfam family "Bacterial small subunit ribosomal RNA", at positions 28 to 526 of the family's 1533-position model. The record is from RNAcentral.
GACGAACGCUGGCGGCGUGCUUAACACAUGCAAGUCGAACGGAGUGGCGAACGGGUGAGUAACACGUGGGUGACCUGCCCUGCACUUCGGGAUAAGCCUGGGGAACUGGGUCUAAUACCGGAUAGUGUGGGAGGGGCCGGCGGCCUAUGAGCUUGUUGGGGGGGUAGUGGCCGACAAAGGGGGCGACGGGGAGCCGGCCUGAGAGGGUGGACGGCCACAAGGGGACUGCGACACGGACCAGACUCCUACGGGAGGCAGCGGUGGGGAAUAUUGCGCAAUGGGCGGAAGCCUGAUGCGUCGACGCCGCGUGGGGGAUGACGGCCUUCGGGUUGUAAACUCCUUUCACCAUCUACGCGGUAGAUGGAGAAGAAGCACCGGCUAACUACGUGCCAGCAGCCGCGGUAAUUC